GACGAACGCUGGCGGCGUGCUUAACACAUGCAAGUCGAACGGAAAGGCCCUGCUUUUGUGGGGUGCUCGAGUGGCGAACGGGUGAGUAACACGUGAGUAACCUGCCCUUGACUUUGGGAUAACUUCAGGAAACUGGGGCUAAUACCGGAUAGGAGCUCCUGCUGCAUGGUGGGGGUUGGAAAGUUUCGGCGGUUGGGGAUGGACUCGCGGCUUAUCAGCUUGUUGGUGGGGUAGUGGCUUACCAAGGCUUUGACGGGUAGCCGGCCUGAGAGGGUGACCGGCCACAUGGGGACUGAGAUACGGCCCAGACUCCUACGGGAGGAAGCAGUGGGGAAUAUUGCACAAUGGGCGGAAGCCGGAUGCAGAAACGCCGCGUGCGGGAGGCCGGCCUUCGGGUUGUAAACCGCUUUCGCUUGUGACGAAGCGUGAGUGACGGUAAUGGGUAAAGAAGCACCGGCUAACUACGU
RNAcentral lists this ribosomal RNA (467 nucleotides) under uncultured bacterium. RNAcentral describes it as "partial 16S ribosomal RNA". It matches the Rfam family "Bacterial small subunit ribosomal RNA", at positions 28 to 506 of the family's 1533-position model. The record is from RNAcentral.